UAACGAUAUUACUGUUUAGCACGUGCAAUAGGAGUGACUCACACAAGCCAGGUGCGCCGGCCGUGUCGUUCGACUCAUAAACAACAGGUGCAACAGAAGUGACUCAUAAAUAAGCCAGCUGCGCCGGCCAGUAUAAAAAGGCGGUACGUGGCUCGCAAUGGACAUUCGUUGGACUGCGCUUGCCUGGUGCACUUACUAUACCCUUGUUACGUUGUGUGAUUCAGUGACUGUUGUACGUACUGGUUAAAGUUGGACAAGUGUUAAAGUGAAUUGUUAAGAUAACAUAUUGUUGAUUAAAUCAGGAAUCAAAGGUGACUUCGUUUAACUUGGUGUUCAACAAGAUAAUAUCUACCCUCAAGCCUACAUCAGAAGUGAGAUCAGGACUCUACUCUCACUGGCGUGACGUGUUUGAACAUGUUCGAAGUACAGCAAAAAAAACAUGAUGCAGAUCAGAAUACUAGUAGUGGUACGCCACAAGAGCGUGAAUGCAGCAUACGUAAGUCGUGUAAUAACGUCUCUGUUACCUCGAUGGAAGAUCUGAGCCACGAAGAAAUCGUCACAUCUUACGUUCUGGCUCAUGUUGCCCAGUUGACUCUCGACUUAUCACAUGGCAUUUACUAGCGGAAAUACAACACGUAACAAGCUAUUGCAAGAAAUUAAGGCAAGUGCAAAUCUCAAGUGAAACUUCGAUCGCAAUAAUGGAUCUGUCAUGACGAGUGGGUAGUUCCGACACGAAUCGUUUUUAAGCCAAUGACUACUGCUAGAGUUACAUGGCACUAGUACAGUAAACCAGGACAUGAGACUGUGAAUUGUCGCUGAAAUUUUAGAAUCUACUCGAUUCAAUACCAAUAACACUACACGUUCGAUGACUUCGGGCUCCAGCAAGCAAGCAAACAAGAAAGCAAGCAAGUUUCCGUGGGGAAGAAAAAUUGACACAUCUGAAGUCGUCGUGACCUGUAAGAUAAGACGUCCGGUGCGUUCGUGUCUGGCGAUGCGGCAGUGUUCGGGUUCCGCUGGCGGAUGCAGGUUUUUCCGGUGAAGUGCGUGCUUGUGCGUGCUUGACAAGUGUUCGCGGUUGGCUUCCUCAGUGUGGGAGUAACAUCGUGUAAGAGAGGUGGAACCCGUAAAAUUGUAGUUUGCGUGGUGGCUGGUAAGAUUUGUUGCGGUAAGAAGUUUGCAUGGUGGUAAAAUGUCUUGUGAGUCUGCACAGGUAGCCGGAGGUGAGACUUCCGCGGUCGCGGCCCACCCAGUCCGCGAGAACCGGGCAGAUCGCCUCGACGGUACGGAGGCCGGCUGACGGGUCCGCCAAACGACGAGACCACGCCUCCAGCACGGACUGCCGAUAUUGGAGCCCCCGCGCUCCGGCUGCACUUGCGCUAGGGCGCGCCGCCUCGUAGGAGACUGUGAGGUGCUGUGGCAGGUCCAACCAGAGACGUCAACGUGUGUUCCAGAACUUCAGUGUGUUACAGAUAAGUGGUUUUGGCUCACCCUUUAUGUUCCAUUCAGGGUCAGAAUGUAGUCUUAUAAAACAAAGCCAUAGUAAUUUAUUCAAUGGUAAGCGGUUUCAUGAACAAGUCACCGUAGUCACCCUAGACACGUCCUUACGGAUCCAUCAGAUCCAAUAACUCUUGCAUUAGAUA
Molecule: long non-coding RNA, 1640 nt
Organism: Bombyx mori (domestic silkworm)
Lineage: Eukaryota; Metazoa; Arthropoda; Insecta; Lepidoptera; Bombycidae
Exons: 2
Source: RefSeq, a predicted model, not a curated record